This is a long non-coding RNA of Tympanuchus pallidicinctus (lesser prairie-chicken), 3953 nucleotides long. RefSeq lists it as uncharacterized. NCBI's taxonomy places the organism in Eukaryota, Metazoa, Chordata, Aves, Galliformes, Phasianidae. The transcript has 2 exons. The record is from RefSeq and is a predicted model, not a curated record.
AAGGGCUGACUGCCACUGGGGGAAGGAUCUCUUUCUGGAGAUUGCUCCCUUUGGAGUUUUUCUGCAAGCCUAGGAUGCAGUUGCAGAGCAACGGGGGGCCGGCUUGCUCAGAAAGCAUACUUAUGCAAGUAUUAAGAACUGGCUGAGAUAAGAAGUAAAGCUUAAGAGACCUUCAUCAUUAGCUGCUAGUGGUGGAGAUUAGUGAUCCUACUACAGGAUUACAGAUGGAAAGAGUGCUAGUGUUGGUUAAUUGUUCAUUAAUGCUUGUAAAAUAAGAGUGGUAGUGAAACUUGCUGUUGUCUACUCUCUCAAAGUGACUCAAAAUUGGAUCUGUUUGUCAAUAGCUGCAUUGAUGUUAACGGGAAUGUAUUUAACAGAUCAUUUUACAGUGUAAACUGCAGUCCACCUCUUUCAACAUUUAAUUAGAUGCUAUUAUCCUAAUAAGAAAUAAUUCAUGCUUUUAAUAAUCUCUUCUCUGUACACACAUGUUUUAUCAUUCUAAUUAGCGAUGCUUUCACUGGGUUGCUUUUCAGGGCUUGCAUAUAAAUCUCAGAUGGAACACUACCUCUCUGUAGACCCAUGGAUUUAUUUUAUUUACACUACUUUCAGUGCUGCCAUCCUUUCCCAGUAGUGCUCUUCUGUAACAUUAGGGAACAACAGCUGAGUUCUAGGUAGUGGGAGCCCACUCUGUGUUGAAACCAAGGGGUCUGCAGACUUCUGUUAGCAAAAACCUGUGGGCAGGGCAUAGGGCAGGGCUACCUCACUACAGCACUUGUGGGUAAUGUGCUAGUCUGACAGGAAUGGGACUGCUGCUCUUAGGAACCUUGAGCCUUUUGGGCAAACUUGAGAAGCAAAGGUGAAUCUCCAUUUUAAUUAACAAAGGGUAAACUUUGAAUGAAUGCUAAUCCUGGAGAAAAUAUACAUUUCCAAGAAACUGUAGCUGUCCAGGAAAUAAAAGACACAAGGAAACUCUGUACCUUCCAUACUACUUCCCUAGCAUUAAAAAAUCAAGGGAUCUGAGUCCUUCCCUUCAUCACACCACUACCGAAUUUUCCUCUGUGUGCCUUAGUCAAGGAUAAUGGCACUGCCAUUGUUCAAGAUGAUUGGCAAUGCCCCAGUCUCUGGUCUGCUUUGUUGGGCCUUUGGGAGGAACCAGAGGAGCCUGAAGGGUGGCUUUAGCAAAAGCCAGAUGCCACCAGCCCUGGGGGAGUGCUGCAGCAUCCUAGCAGUGACAGGGUUGCUGAGGAGUCCUGGCCAGGGGCCUGGCACAGGCAGCAGUGUGAGAAGCUGCUCUGCUCUGAGAGCUGUCCUGACUGAGGAUGUAGUAACCAACACAAACAAUCCUGCUGAACCCCACUGAUAUAUCUGCCCUGCCAAUGCCAGGGACCAUGGGAAGGAACCACUGCAAUGGGCUCAGUGGACAGGUCACUCCUGCUGUCAUCUCCAAGCAAACAAGCAUGUGAGAUGCUCCACGGAGAAAUGUGAGUGCAGCUAUGCCUCUGUCAGUUGAUAAGCAACAAUACUGCUGGUUAAUUGCUUCUAAAGUGUUAACCAGCAGAUAAUCAGUCUUAAGGAUUUAAACUCAGUAACCCUUUUAAUGUGAUAUAGAAUGAGAAGUGAAUAAAUAAUUGCAUGCUGAGACCUGCCACUGAGAUACAUAAGAUGUGGGUUAAAGAUAGAGAAUAACAAAACCUGACUGAAAUGUUUGGGAAGAUGAGAAAGAUGCAAGUCACAACCUCAGUCUGCAAUAUGAAUCCAAGCCCAGCUUUUCUAUAAUGACUGUUUUGAUAGGAGUAACAAAUAAUAGCCAACUUGUCUGUGCUGAGAGUUAACCCCAGUACAGAAACAAAACCACUCUAUUCUUAAUUUAGUAACUAAAGAAGAAUGCCAUAGAGAGGCUGAGUGGAAGAUUGUAACAAAUGCUGGAGCUUUCCUUAUAGCUCAUCGACUUCUCCUCUCCUGCAGCAUGUGUUUAUGGGUGCUUCUUCAAUUGCUGAGGCUAUAAAUUACUUUCCCAGCAAACUGCCCUAGUUCUGCUUUGGACGCAACCUCUGGGCCUGGCAGUAACCGUUCAGUUCAGGCCAUUCAGCAGCAGUAUGACGGGCAAAGAAAAAUAAAGAAAUCAUUAUUGUGGCUUUGUUAUAUUGAUGGGAAGCUAUGGAUUUGGAGCACAGCCCUCUGGUUCCUCCAGUGACUUUAAGGGAUGUGUAAAUAGCAUAUACCACUGUGUGGAAGCUGCUGCUUAAAAUCAAAGCUUGAGCAGCUAGAUGAAUGUGCCUGGUGCACAGAUAAUUGAAGGAGAGCAAAGUACAAUGAGGUGUCCAACUUGGGGAACGUGGCAAUGUAAUUUCAUUAUAAUUCAAGUUAUUCAUUAAGAAAUUCUUAUAUGCAAACAUAUGAUUGCAAGUGAUUAGAAAAAAAAGAGCAUGUUUUUUUUUUUUUUUUUUUUUUUUUAAUGUGUGUGUCAAUGUUCUUUCCCAGAAUAAACUCUCUGAAGAGCUGCAUUUAGCAUGUAAAUGGGAUGCUAGAGUAAGGCCAUAUGUGAUGCUGAUGGAGACCAGAAAAAGACUCAUGGUUUGUACUGGAAUAAGUGAACGGUGAAGCCCCUCUAUAGCUGGAUGAGAGGAAGCUUCUGAAGACAGGUCUUGCCAUUCAUUCUAUCUCAUUACAGCUACCUGAAUGAUAGCAAGGCUGCAGCUCAGUACAGCAGCUCAUUAGUAAGAGAAGACUCUGACGUUAGUUCAGAUGUUGAUCGACGUGACUGGUAGCAUGAAAUCUGGAUUGCGUUGUCAGAAUGAGCUUUGUCAUCUGCAUGCAGCCUGAUGGCUUAUCUUGGAGAAUCAGUUUGUGAAGAGUGUGUUAAACUGUUUGCCAGGGGAUUUAAUGCUCGCUCAGCUGUUGUUUGACGCCAUGGACCGGCGUGGCUUUCUCUACCUACCAGCUUACAAAAGGCCAGGUGAAAAGAUCAGGAAAAGGCAAGACAAAUUUCCAAAGCUGCCUGCUAGAGCCCGGGGCCUGCUCAAAGCCGUGAGCUGUGUGACGUGAGUGCAGCUGCUUGAAAGUUAGGUCAUGGCAGUGCUCAUGGAGGUGCUGACAAUAUGCCCGUGUGCCUAUGUUGCAUGUGUCAGUGCAGUUCUCUGGCAGGACUAAUGUAUCACUGUUAUUAUCCAGUCUUUUGCCCUAAUGCCACAUGACAGAACGGAAAAAUCUUGCGUAUCUCAGUUCUCCAUUGGAGCAUUAAAGGCAAUUUCAAAUUGUUCUGCAUUAAAAGCUUAUCAAGCACGAUGUGGCCUUCCGGGGCUUUGUCCCUGGCAUGCUCUGGAUGCCCUUCCUGCACACAGCUCCAAGUGCACUGCUGCUAGCAGCAGCCCCCAUGGAUGCUCAGGAGGAGCCUGCGAACUGUUCUCAUGCUGUUUUCCUUCACAGGAUCUUUUUCCCAGCUCGACCAUUCUAAACAGUUGCUGGUUUCCUGUGACCUUUUGGACCUACGCUUCAGUUUCUUGUACACUACAAUUGAGCUUCCCUCUCCUUGCCUUGUUAUGAGCUAGCACAUGAUGGAUGAGCCCUCAGCAUGCCUCGAGGUGCAGCAGGAGCAGCGGAGGAAGUAAAGACAGCAGAUCUACUUCAGCAAAUUAGCAGCAACAGCAGGCUCUGUUGUGGCAGUUCUGUUGAAUGCCAUCAUUUUAACUGUUCACUAUGGAAUAGUUCCUAAAUGGCAUUUAUAUUUAAGUCAGUUUAUUAUAUUAUUCCAGCCAUGCAAAGCUGUACUACAAAUUUACCAGCUCAGGCACAAAAUCUAUUCACCCACCCUUUUCCAAGUUGAUGAUAAUGGACCCCCUCCUCUUUCUCUCUUUUUUUCCCUCAAAUGAUUAUAUUUUCUUGCCCAUCAAAACAAAUCACUCAUCUUGGGUGAAUAAAAUUUUGCAAGCCUGCACUCUGUAGGAUGUCACUGA